UACAGAGGUCCCAAGCGUUGUUCGGAUUCACUGGGCGUAAAGGGUGCGUAGGCGGUCGGGUAAGUCUGAUGUGAAAUCUCACAGCUUAACUGUGAAACUGCAUUGGAUACUAUCCGGCUCGAGGAAUGGAGGGGAGACUGGAAUACUUGGUGUAGCAGUGAAAUGCGUAGAUAUCCGGAGGAAUACCAAAGGCGAAGGCAGUGUCCUGGAGGGUGACUGACGCUGAGGCGCGAAAGCUAGGGGAGCGAACAGG
This 253-nucleotide ribosomal RNA is filed under the name uncultured bacterium. Its description in RNAcentral is "partial 16S ribosomal RNA". It matches the Rfam family "Bacterial small subunit ribosomal RNA", at positions 524 to 776 of the family's 1533-position model. The record is from RNAcentral.